This 80-nucleotide transfer RNA is filed under the name Methylophaga sp. Its description in RNAcentral is "tRNA-Tyr". It matches the Rfam family "tRNA". Rfam says of the family: Transfer RNA (tRNA) molecules are approximately 80 nucleotides in length. The record is from RNAcentral. Lineage: Bacteria; Pseudomonadati; Pseudomonadota; Gammaproteobacteria; Thiotrichales; Piscirickettsiaceae.
AAGGGUACGGUAUAAUUGGUUGUUGCAGUUAGUUUGUAAGAACUAGCAAUUUGUGGGUUCGAUUCCCACUACCCUUGCCA